Molecule: ribosomal RNA, 318 nt
Filed under: Bacillus subtilis
Lineage: Bacteria; Bacillati; Bacillota; Bacilli; Caryophanales; Bacillaceae
Description: bacterial SSU rRNA
Rfam family: Bacterial small subunit ribosomal RNA
Source: RNAcentral
UGGAGGAAGGUGGGGAUGACGUCAAAUCAUCAUGCCCCUUAUGACCUGGGCUACACACGUGCUACAAUGGACAGAACAAAGGGCAGCGAAACCGCGAGGUUAAGCCAAUCCCACAAAUCUGUUCUCAGUUCGGAUCGCAGUCUGCAACUCGACUGCGUGAAGCUGGAAUCGCUAGUAAUCGCGGAUCAGCAUGCCGCGGUGAAUACGUUCCCGGGCCUUGUACACACCGCCCGUCACACCACGAGAGUUUGUAACACCCGAAGUCGGUGAGGUAACCUUUUAGGAGCCAGCCGCCGAAGGUGGGACAGAUGAUUGGGG